Molecule: ribosomal RNA, 494 nt
Filed under: Zoraida sp. 2 NS-2013
Lineage: Eukaryota; Metazoa; Arthropoda; Insecta; Hemiptera; Derbidae
Description: partial 16S ribosomal RNA
Source: RNAcentral
UCCCCCUUUUUCAAAAACAUGGUUUUUUGUUUUUAUUUUAAAAAUUUGGCCUGGUCAAAGAUUUUAAAAAGCCCCGGGAUAUUGGAUGGGUUAAGGGAGCCUAAUAAUUUGUUUUUUAAAUGGGGUUUGGGUUGAAAGGUUAAAAGGGAAAAUUUCUUUUUUUGUUUAAUUAAAAAUGAAAUUAAUUUUUUUGUUAAAAAAGUAAAAAUUUUUAAAGGGGCAAAAAGACCCCAUAGACCCUUUUUUUUUUUUUUUUUUUUUUUUUUAAUUUUAAAGGGAAAAUUAAAAUAUUUUUGUUGGGGGGAUGUUAAAAAUUUUAAACUUUUUUUUUUUUUUACAGUUUAUUUGGUUUUUUUGAUCUUUUUUUUUGAUUUUAAGAUAAAGGUACCUUAGGGAUAACAGCGUAAUAUAGUUGGAGAGUUCUUAUUGAUAAUUAUGAUUGCGACCUCGAUGUUGGAUUAAAAUUAAUUGUGGGGUAGGUUUUACAAUUUAGG